Molecule: ribosomal RNA, 406 nt
Filed under: uncultured bacterium
Lineage: Bacteria
Description: partial 16S ribosomal RNA
Rfam family: Bacterial small subunit ribosomal RNA
Source: RNAcentral
AUUGAACGCUGGCGGCAGGCCUAACACAUGCAAGUCGAACGAGUGGCGGACGGGUGAGUAAUGUCUGGGAAACUGCCUGAUAGCGGGGGAUAACUACUGGAAACGGUAGCUAAUACCGCAUACCAUCAGCUGUGCCCAGAUGGGAUUAGCUUGUUGGUGGGGUAACGGCUCACCACGACGACGAGCCCUAGCUGUUCUGAGAGGAUGACCAGCAACACUGGAACUGGUACAACGUACAGAAUCCGACGGGAGGCAGCAGUGGGGAAUAUUGUACAAUGGGGGCCAGCCUGAUGCAGCCAUGUCUCGUGUAUGAAGAAGGCCUUCGGGUUGUAAAGUACUUGCAGCGUGGAGGCGUUACCCGCAGAAGAAGCACCGGCUAACUCCGUGCCAGCAGCCGCGGUAAUAC